RNAcentral lists this ribosomal RNA (497 nucleotides) under uncultured bacterium. RNAcentral describes it as "partial 16S ribosomal RNA". It matches the Rfam family "Bacterial small subunit ribosomal RNA", at positions 28 to 507 of the family's 1533-position model. The record is from RNAcentral.
GAUGAACGCUGGCGGCGUGCCUAAUACAUGCAAGUCGAGCGAACGGACGAGAAGCUUGCUUCUCUGAUGUUAGCGGCGGACGGGUGAGUAACACGUGGAUAACCUACCUAUAAGACUGGGAUAACUUCGGGAAACCGGAGCUAAUACCGGAUGAUAUUUUGAACCGCAUGGUUCAAAAGUGAAAGACGGUCUUGCUGUCACUUAUAGAUGGAUCCGCGCUGCAUUAGCUAGUUGGUAAGGUAACGGCUUACCAAGUCAACGAUGCAUAGCCGACCUGAGAGGGUGAUCGGCCACACUGGAACUGAGACACGGUCCAGACUCCUACGGGAGGCAGCAGUAGGGAAUCUUCCGCAAUGGGCGAAAGCCUGACGGAGCAACGCCGCGUGAGUGAUGAAGGUCUUCGGAUCGUAAAACUCUGUUAUUAGGGAAGAACAUAUGUGUAAGUAACUGUGCACAUCUUGACGGUACCUAAUCAGAAAGCCACGGCUAACUACGUG